CGCGUGGGAACGUACCCUUUACUACGGAAUAGCCUCUGGAACGGAGGGUAAUACCGUAUGUGCCCUUUGGGGGAAAGGAUUUAUCGGUAAAGGAUCGGCCCGCGUUAGAUUAGGUAGUUGGUGGGGUAAGUGGCCUACCAAGCCUACGAUCUAUAGCUGGUUUGAGAGGGUGAUCAGCCACACUGGGACUGAGACACGGUCCAGACUCCUACGGGAGGCAGCAGUGGGGAAUAUUGCACAAUGGGCGCAAGCCUGAUGCAGCCAUACCGCGUGUGUGAAAGAAGGCUUUCGGGUUGUAAA
RNAcentral lists this ribosomal RNA (300 nucleotides) under uncultured Paracoccaceae bacterium. RNAcentral's name for it is "bacterial SSU rRNA". It matches the Rfam family "Bacterial small subunit ribosomal RNA", at positions 114 to 429 of the family's 1533-position model. Lineage: Bacteria; Pseudomonadati; Pseudomonadota; Alphaproteobacteria; Rhodobacterales; Paracoccaceae. The record is from RNAcentral.